This is a non-coding RNA of Heterocephalus glaber (naked mole-rat), 3586 nucleotides long. The record is from RefSeq and is a predicted model, not a curated record. Lineage: Eukaryota; Metazoa; Chordata; Mammalia; Rodentia; Bathyergidae.
CGAAGGGCGGCGGCGCGCCUUUGUCAGCGCGGCCUGGGCUGUGGCGUCGGGGGCCGAGCGGAGAGCGAGCCCCGGCUUCUCGUUCCUGGAAGCCGACGUCAAGCCCCUCUCUCGCGCCCAGCGACUGCUGUCUUUCCAGCAACUGCAGUCCUCUCGUCGCACGCCCAAAGCCGACGAUCCCCUCUCCGCCGCCUCCGCCGCCCGCUUCCUGUUUAUCCACACUGCGCCUGCGCCGCAGACCGGAUCAGACCGGUCCUCGGCCCGCGCCCCUCCCCCUCGGGCCGGCCCAGCGUGCCUGCCCGGCGGGGGUAAAUGGAGUGGAGCGAGGGCGGAAAGCGCGCGGAACGGAGGUAGUGGACCGUACCACCUAGAUUUGCCCCCCUCCCGAGAGGGUCCACACCCUGGGACGGGCCACUGCCCCUCCCCCGAAGAAGGGGGUGCGGGAGGAGGCUGCAGCCUGCGGGAGCCGCCGGGAGAAGCUGAGGGGCGCGGAGGAGAGGUGUUUACUGUGCCACCGCGCAGGCGCGGAAACAGGACCUCGCGCUCUUAAAGAGGUAGGAGCUGACCUACUUUCUACGGAGAUUCUUCCUGUAGUUUAGCUGUUCGUCUCUGCUGCACCCAAGCUCGGUUCUAGAAGGACACUUCCGACGAACUCAGCCAAGCUCUGAACCUUGGAUCGUUUCCCCAUACCCUGAACCCACUUAUUCGUUCAUUCCUUCUGCAGACCCCUCUGAGCUUGCCUCAUCCUGGACCCUGGCGCCACUAUGAGCUCACAGUGUGGUGGGCAGAGAUGAUUGAUUUAUUUACUGCGGUACUGGGCAGCUGUGAUGAGUCAAACUACAGCAAGAAUCUCCACUAAGCUACAUCCUUAGCCCUUUUUAAUUUUUUUUAUUUGGGCUAGGGUCAGUUGACCAGGCUGGGCUCAGAUUUGCGAUCCUCCUGCCUCAGCCUCCCAGAAUGCUCCCAGGAUGUUCCCUCAUCCCACACUUGGCUACACGCAGAAUUCUUGCAUGGUGUGCCCAUGUGUUUCGGGAAGUCAGAGGAGGUAACAACCAACUCCUAUUUAUUUAUUUUUGGUAUCGGGCAUCAAACUUGGGACCUUUCGCUUGUGAGUGAGGCGGUGGAACCACUGAGCUAAAACCUCGGUCCCCAACUCCUGUUUUAAGGACAGGCCCUGCCUGGUCAUUGCCUCACUUUUGGUCUGGAUUAUAAAAAUGAGUAGAAGUUAACCAGGCUGAGCAGGACAAUCCAGAUUAGUGGAACAACAGAUUGAAAAUGGGGGGUGAAAGGUAUGGCUUGUUUGGGAAUGGGGAAAGUGCUGUGUGUAAGGAACUCUGAGAUUCUUUGCGCCUCAACAUAAACUUCAUUCCCUCGUUUUUGGCCUUGGCCUCGUUCAUUUCCUAGGCCCUAGAAGGACCCCCCGCCCCACAACCUUCUGUAUGCUCUGGGAGCUUCUGCAGUCCUGUCAUAAUGCACUUGACAUUUCCGGUGCUUGAGAGAUCUGUCUCAACCUGUGAGGACGAAAUGUCUCACUUCUAUACUUCGAUGUGUUAUUUAACCUUAGCGGUAGCCCAACCUCUAACUCUUACAGUCCUUUUCAAUCCUGGAUUAUUUCCAUGGGAACUAGAAGCAAGAAUUUUCUCUAUAUUGUUCGUUCUUUCUAAUACGGAACACUAAAUGUGCACAUCAUUGUAGCUAGCACAGGGACAAACUGACCGUGUCCGUGGCUCCAGUUUUACUGUGUGCUGCUGACCAGGCGUCUUCUUGGACCUGCUGUGAUGGCAGCUCCAGGCCACAGCCGGUCUCCUUGGGUACUGUGGUCCCAGGGUGCCUGCAGGCUCUCAUUCCAGGUGAUUCUCACGCCUAGUCUCCUGACACUUUUCUCUUUGAAAAAGAAAACCUCACACCAUGGCAACUGCUAACAAGUCAGCAGCCACAAUUUCAUCCACUCCACUGUGCACUCAGGUCUGUGAUCCAGAUCGAACUCGGGACCUUGCACUUACGAGGCAGGCGCUGAAACCACUGAGCUAAAUCCCCGGCCCAGGAGAGUGUUUUGAGAAGGAGCAGAUGACAACAUGUCAGAUCAGACCAGUCGCCCUGACAAAAUGAUGUGGAUACCAGCCUGCUGGCUUUCCUGGACCCCCUGUGCACCCUGGCUCCGGUCACUUCUACCUCACUAGUGAUCCUCAGCCUAGCUUCAACUUUCCCUUUAUUUAUAUCUACCCUAAAAUGUGAGUCAUCUCUAGACCUGAUCCAGUUAUAUCCAUCUACUCAUCGUGCUUAUUCAUCCAAUAAUACAGUCAUUUAUUGAAUGCCCAUUACGUGCCAGGCCCCCAGGGAUAGGAUAGCGAGGAAAAAAACCUAGCCCAGGUACUCAGGGAGCCUUAAGUAAUUCACCAUGUAUCAAACAGAAGUGAACAAUUAACCCAGUAAAUACACAGUUACAAACAGAGCACCAUGAGAGCCUGUCACAGUGUCCCUUCCUCAGACAAUGCAGGCACACAGCACCCAUCCCUCACACAGAUCUCCACAGGCAGCGACCUGGGGGAGCUGGGUCUAGGCUUGAUCCCACAACAAACUCACUUGCUGAUCUCAAGCAAAUUCUUUGGCUCCUCUGAGCCUGUUUCCUUUUGUUAUGGAUUAGAUUUUAAAUGUCCCACAACCCUGGUGUGGUGGCACACGCCUGCAAUCCCAGCACUCGGGAGGCUGAGACAGGAUCUCCAUGAGUUCCAGGCCACCUUGGGCUACACUGUGAGUUUAAGGCCUGAACUACAUGAGACCCUGUAUCAAAAAGAACCACCAAAAUAGAAUAAAAUAUCCUCCCAAAGCCGCCUGUGUUUGGAAGGUCACUGGGUACUCGGGCACCACGCUCAUGCUCAUCUAUCUCUAUGGGUCAGAGCUGCCUGCUGUUAGGAGGCGGGGCCUGGCCUGCAGAGGUGUCACUGGGCUCUGAUCGGAAGGGUCCCUUCUCCUCUUGCUGCUCCCUGGCUGCCAUGCAAUGAGCAGCUGUCCUCUGCCCCGGUCCUUCCGCCAGGCCCUUCUGCCUGGGAACCAGCUGGCCAUGGACUGAAAAUGGAAGCCAAAGUAAACCUCUGUUCCUUUAAACUGCAAUCAUUUUGUUCCAGAGAUAAUACAGUGACUAAGGCACUCUUCUGUGAAGGGAAGGCAGAAGGAGAGAUAGACUAGGUAAGUUGUUUUGUUCUUUCAACAUUUAUUAUAUAUAUGUCACCAAAAGAUCACAAAAAGAUCACAAAAAAGGAAGCUUUAGUUCACAACACAGGUCUAUGAAAAUACAUUUUUAAGCUCUGCAGUGUACAAUAUUUGUUUAAAGUUAAAGCAGUAGGGUCAGGGAUUUAGCUCAGUGGCACUACACCUGCCUCACAAGCUCAAGGUCCUGAGUCCUAUCCCUGGUACAGGAAAAAAAAAAGAGAGAGAAAGAAAUAGAGAACAGUAAAGUUAAAGCAGUUAAAUACUUGAAACUAAUUUCGAAACUUGUGAAAUAAAGGCCAUACUUUUUUUUUUUUUUUUUUGGUACCGGGGAUUGAACUUGGGACCUUGUGCUUGUAAGGCAGGCGGUGGAACCACU